Oryzias javanicus (javanese ricefish) is the source of this 109-nucleotide microRNA precursor. Ensembl annotates it as microRNA 23b. Its record names the gene MIR23B. Lineage: Eukaryota; Metazoa; Chordata; Actinopteri; Beloniformes; Adrianichthyidae. The record is from Ensembl.
UUUCAUGUCUGGGCUGUGAGGGUUCCUGGCGUGCUGAUUUGUGACUUAUGAUAAAAUCACAUUGCCAGGGAUUACCACACAGCCUUGACCCGGACGGCUGCUAUGGCAA